Molecule: long non-coding RNA, 928 nt
Filed under: Carica papaya (papaya)
Lineage: Eukaryota; Viridiplantae; Streptophyta; Magnoliopsida; Brassicales; Caricaceae
Description: long non-coding RNA (CPAP_LNC014320)
Source: RNAcentral
AAUAGAUUUAAUACAUAAAUAUGCUAACUGUUUUAUAAAUUUUGAUUUUUCGUUACAAUUUGAUCUUUAUCAACAUACUUAUGUGUCAAUUGACCUUCAGUAAUAUAUCAAAAAUUAUGAUGUAUGUAAAUAAAAUGAUAAAAUUACUUUCAAAUAACUUGUGAACUUUAUCUAAUAAAGUCGGUAAGAAAUUAUACAAUAUAAUAGUAUAACCAUCAUAGUUUUUGCAUUAAGAAUUUUUGCUAUAUAAUACAAAGCAUUAAGUUGUCAGAAAAAAUGGAUAUAAAUGGAAUGCGGGUCAAGUGUCGAAUACAUGUGAGUCAUUUCUAAUGUUGGAAUUAAGAAUUUAUUUUAUUAUCCAGUAAUUUUAUCAUAAUUAUUGAGUCAAAUGGAUCUGGAUUUAGGCAUAUAUAUAUACAUAAUAUUGUUCUUCCAAUUAUAUACUAUUGGUAUCAAAUUUAUAAGACAUAUAUAUUUAUCCUUUCACAACGUGCAACAAAAGCAAUUUGGUUUUUCGAAGAUAAACUGUUGCGAUUCUAUUAUGUAGCGCCCGAACCGAGGGGAAAAAAAAAAAAAAAAGCCACGUCAGCAGGCCCGGUCAGCAGUCCCGGCCAACCGGGGCCUGCCACGUGACAAGACCACGUCGCUCCUGAACGGGCCACGUUGGCGAUCCGCGUGGGCGCGAUCGGACGGCCCAGAUCAAUCGCGCGAUCGGACAGCCCAGAUCAAUCGCGCGAUCGGACGGCCCAGAUACAAUCGCACGGACGGCCCAGAUUUAAUCAAAAAUGGACAGCCCAGAUUAAAACAAAAUGGACGGCUGAGAUCAAAGGGCAAGGGGUUAUAAAUAGAACCCCCACACCAGACCCCAAACCCUAGCCGCCUGCCGCUCGUCGGAGAAGACGAACCAGAGGCCGACCGCCGCCACCCG